CCUAUCUUUUCUUUGACUUAUCUCAAUCUCCUCAUAGGUUUCAGGGUACUCUCUCACUACAACCAAUGCAUAUGACACCGUCUCCUCAGAGCCAUUCCUUUCUAGCUUCUGCACAUUCUACAUCGACUUGUGUAGUGCAACACCAUCACUGAUGCUGAAAUUUUUCUCCUUCCUUUGCACCCCUUGGCCUCGAACUUAUGCCAAACCUUCCUCUACAUAUGGAGG
RNAcentral lists this long non-coding RNA (225 nucleotides) under Elaeis guineensis (African oil palm). RNAcentral's name for it is "long non-coding RNA (EGUI_LNC024795)". Lineage: Eukaryota; Viridiplantae; Streptophyta; Magnoliopsida; Arecales; Arecaceae. The record is from RNAcentral.